CCUACGGGAGGCAGCAGUAGGGAAUCUUCGGCAAUGGGGGGAACCCUGACCGAGCAACGCCGCGUGAGUGAAGAAGGUUUUCGGAUCGUAAAGCUCUGUUGUUAAGGAAGAACGAGUGUGAGAAUGGAAAGUUCAUACUGUGACGGUACUUAACCAGAAAGGGACGGCUAACUACGUGCCAGCAGCCGCGGUAAUACGUAGGUCCCGAGCGUUGUCCGGAUUUAUUGGGCGUAAAGCGAGCGCAGGCGGUUAGAAAAGUCUGAAGUGAAAGGCAGUGGCUCAACCAUUGUAGGCUUUGGAAACUGUUUAACUUGAGUGCAGAAGGGGAGAGUGGAAUUCCAUGUGUAGCGGUGAAAUGCGUAGAUAUAUGGAGGAACACCGGUGGCGAAAGCGGCUCUCUGGUCUGUAACUGACGCUGAGGCUCGAAAGCGUGGGGAGCGAACAGGAUUAGAUACCCCAGUAGUC
This 465-nucleotide ribosomal RNA is filed under the name uncultured Streptococcus sp. Its description in RNAcentral is "bacterial SSU rRNA". It matches the Rfam family "Bacterial small subunit ribosomal RNA", at positions 338 to 795 of the family's 1533-position model. The record is from RNAcentral. Lineage: Bacteria; Bacillati; Bacillota; Bacilli; Lactobacillales; Streptococcaceae.